RNAcentral lists this ribosomal RNA (301 nucleotides) under uncultured bacterium. RNAcentral describes it as "partial 16S ribosomal RNA". It matches the Rfam family "Bacterial small subunit ribosomal RNA", at positions 509 to 809 of the family's 1533-position model. The record is from RNAcentral.
CAGCAGCCGCGGGAAAACGUAGGUGGCAAGCGUUGUCCGGAAUUAUUGGGCGUAAAGGGCUCGCAGGCGGUUUCUUAAGUCUGAUGUGAAAGCCCCCGGCUCAACCGGGGAGGGUCAUUGGAAACUGGGAAACUUGAGUGCAGAAGAGGAGAGUGGAAUUCCACGUGUAGCGGUGAAAUGCGUUGAGAUGUGGAGGAACACCAGUGGCGAAGGCGACUCUCUGGUCUGUAACUGACGCUGAGGAGCGAAAGCGUGGGGAGCGAACGGGAUUAGAGACCCCUGUAGUCCCUGUCUCUUAUAA